CUUUUAGAUUUGGAAUUGUCUUUGAAGUUAAAUGUAUACUAACCUUGUUUAUUUAAGGCAGUCGGUUCCACAAAGGAGAAAAGCAGCUGAAUGUCAGAAAAGCUCAUUCUGAAAAUCAGUCAGGACUACAUGGUGCAGGUUAUCAAUUGGAUGUCCCUAGAAAUGACAGCCUUGCACAACACAAUCAUUUCCACGAUGGAGAAAAACAGCUGAAAGUGGAAAAAGUUGAGUAUGAAAAUCGGAUGCACGAUCCUGAUUACCAGACGAAUGCUGUUAAAAAAGCUGCCAAGAAGCGAAGUAAACCCUCAAGAAACAAUUAUGAAAAUCCAAUUUAUGCCAACAGCUGUGAGCAUCUUGACCGAAUAUAGGAAGAAAGAAGGGAUGGCAAACACAGCUGUGUAAAUCAGUGGCUCCCAAACUGGGGUGCCAGGGCAUCCCUGGGGGGCGCAAGACGGUUUCCGAAAGGCUGGAGCACUAAUUCUCUCAAUUUACCCCUGACACCUGACAAGGCAAUGGGGUUCACUUGAAUGUAACACUUAAGUGCCUUGACUUCAACCCCAUCGUACAUCAUUCUUCAUUUCCAUGCUCAUUCUAACAGUGUGUACCACGUACAACAAAAGGGGAUGAUUGUAAAGACCAAAAACAAUCACAUUUCUAUUGAUUUAGUGGGUGGAGGUCCUCAGUCAGGCUGUCUAAUGUCAUAGCAGUUUGAUGCAUUCCUGGUUUCACUAUGAGUUUAAUAAGACACACUUGAGUUUGUUACCUAUACACUGGCUAAUCAAGCUUGUGGUAAAACCUGGAAUGGGUGAAAUUGCUAUGUAACAGGAAUCUUAUUUCCACCCCUGCCUUACGAGGUUUACAAAGCAUGAUAUCUAUUUAGUUACAGCAUAAUGCCAUAAUAAAUCAUCUCUCAAGACCCACCUGUUCUCUCAUGCUUUCCAUGCUCUUUAAGCCUGAUCUCUGCUAUUAGCUGCUGUGUUGCUGCUACUAUUUCAUGUAUUAUGCACUUUCCACUGUAUUUAAUGUAUUAUGCAUUUUGUUCUGUAUAGCAUGUAUUAUGCAUUUCUGUAAUUAAAGUACAAUGGAUUUUCUUGUUGGUGCAUUCACCAUGAUAAAGGGAACUAUAGAAGUAAAAUCAGUGGUGCUACAGACAAUGGGUGGGCUAUGCAGUCAGCAGGUACAGUUGCUCUCUAGUCACUUUAGUUAGCAAGUAAGUUCAUGUGAAUACCAUUGCAUUGAAAGGCGUUUUUUUUUUGCUCUGUUAACUAAUAUGCCACCAAAGCUUUGUAAUAUUUAACUGGACUGCUUCAUCACAUCAGUUAUUUUUGUGAAUCAUAAUAAUAUAUCUAACAUAUAAUCACCUAUUGAAUGGACUGCGUGCUUGAUGUGCAGCGUGAUAUGGUGCAUUGAUGUGGUAAACUUACUUUCUAAUCACCCUGUAUAGUGUUGAUAUUUGCAUUUUUCUAUUUUUAAUGAUUUUUUUGCACUAUUGUUGUUUUUUGUGUUAAUUUUAAAUAACUUAAUAAAAUCUGAAAAAGUGCAUACUACAUUACAGUACUUCUGAAAUGUUAUAAGCACAGUAUGAUGUAACAGAGAACCUUCAAAUACUGUC
This is a long non-coding RNA of Acipenser ruthenus (sterlet), 1612 nucleotides long. RefSeq lists it as uncharacterized. Lineage: Eukaryota; Metazoa; Chordata; Actinopteri; Acipenseriformes; Acipenseridae. The record is from RefSeq and is a predicted model, not a curated record. The transcript is spliced from 5 exons.